This is a long non-coding RNA of Hordeum vulgare subsp. vulgare (domesticated barley), 701 nucleotides long. RefSeq lists it as uncharacterized. The transcript has 2 exons. NCBI's taxonomy places the organism in Eukaryota, Viridiplantae, Streptophyta, Magnoliopsida, Poales, Poaceae. The record is from RefSeq and is a predicted model, not a curated record.
AGCCACACGCCUUGAUUAAGCGGGAGAGAUUAUCCCUGAAAUGGCAGAUCAGUGAACAUGGAGGCUCAGCAUUAGGUGCCAAAAUGCCAACUGGUGCUUGAGGCACAUGGUAGUGGUAGCUGGACCAGUGCGUUUACAGUCUUGCAUGGCCGGGACCCCCAGAACCUUUUCCCUUGGAAAUUAUUGGAUCCAUAAUUGAUCGAAGAUUAUCGUUCUUGGAUCCUAUCCCUCAAUUCUUUUUUUGCUCCCGUAGAGCGCGGCUCAAAAUGAGAAUCGUCCCGUUUUCGGUGUGCAAAUUAUCUUCCUACCGGGUUAGGCAGACAUUGGAUCAUUUGUCACAUUCAGCUUUGGAUGCAAAUGGCUAAAGGCGGCCCCGAAAGGUUGUGUCGAGCUUACCUCACCAUGCACUGGGAAUUCAAGCCGACGACGGAUUUGCCCAAUUUUUUUCCGCAGGCCAUCGAAAGCUCCGCUGAAUCGGAUCGCGCGGAGAGCGGGACAGAAUGAAAGUAACUUCCCUAAUGGAACGUCGGUAUGUUUGAUGUGUUUCAACUUUCAAGGUAAACACUUUCCAGAAAAAGUUAUGUUGGCUCAGGCGUCGUUCUUCUUCCUGCAUCUGUUUUCUGCAGCUGGUUGAAUCUCAAACGAAAUGAAUUAUUCCGAUUUGACAAGAAUACUAGUUAUCAAAGUCUCUUUACUGUUCA